RNAcentral lists this ribosomal RNA (449 nucleotides) under uncultured bacterium. RNAcentral's name for it is "partial 16S ribosomal RNA". It matches the Rfam family "Bacterial small subunit ribosomal RNA", at positions 354 to 796 of the family's 1533-position model. The record is from RNAcentral.
GUGGGGAAUCUUCCGCAAUGGGCGAAAGCCUGACGGAGCAACGCCGCGUGAGUGAUGAAGGACUUCGGUCUGUAAAACUCUGUUGUUCAUGACGAACGGGUAGCAUAGUAACUGAUGCUGCAGUGACGGUAGUGAACGAGGAAGCCACGGCUAACUACGUGCCAGCAGCCGCGGUAAUACGUAGGCGGCAAGCGUUGUCCGGAAUUAUUGGGCGUAAAGAGCAUGUAGGCGGCUAUUUAAGUCUGUCGUGAAAAUGCGGGGCUUAACCCCGUAUGGCGGUAGAAACUGGAUAGCUUGAGCGCAGGAGAGGAAAGGGGAAUUCCCAGUGUAGCGGUGAAAUGCGUAGAUAUUGGGAGGAACACCAGUGGCGAAGGCGCCUUUCUGGACUGUGACUGACGCUGAGAUGCGAAAGCCAGGGGAGCGAACGGGAUUAGAAACCCGUGUAGUCC